RNAcentral lists this ribosomal RNA (368 nucleotides) under uncultured bacterium. Its description in RNAcentral is "bacterial SSU rRNA". It matches the Rfam family "Bacterial small subunit ribosomal RNA", at positions 527 to 893 of the family's 1533-position model. The record is from RNAcentral.
AGAGGGGGCAAGCGUUGUUCGGAAUUACUGGGCGUAAAGGGCGCGUAGGCGGCCUGCUAAGUCGAACGUGAAAUCCCCGGGCUUAACCCGGGAACUGCGUCCGAUACUGGUGGGCUUGAAUCCGGGAGAGGGAUGUGGAAUUCCAGGUGUAGCGGUGAAAUGCGUAGAUAUCUGGAGGAACACCGGUGGCGAAGGCGGCAUCCUGGACCGGUAUUGACGCUGAGGCGCGAAAGCUAGGGGAGCAAACGGGAUUAGAUACCCCGGUAGUCCUAGCCCUAAACGAUGAAUGCUUGGUGUGGCGGGUAUCGAUCCCUGCCGUGCCGAAGCUAACGCAUUAAGCAUUCCGCCUGGGGAGUACGGUCGCAAGG